RNAcentral lists this small RNA (105 nucleotides) under Marmota monax (woodchuck). The record is from RNAcentral. Lineage: Eukaryota; Metazoa; Chordata; Mammalia; Rodentia; Sciuridae.
UCUGGGCCUGGGGAUGCACGCCUGUAAUCCCAGUUACUCAGGAGGCUGAGGCAGGAGGACCACAGGUUCGAGGCCAGCCUGGACAACUUAGUGAACCUGUCUCAA